GGGUCUCAGCUUCAUCAGAGAUCUGACGUCCAUCAGGCACGGGGAAGAUGGUGAGAGUUUUAUAGCAUCCAGUUGCCACCCUCAGGUGCUGCCUCUCCUUCUGGCUCUUCUGGGACCUUCUACCCCCACGACAGAGGUGUUCAGAGAUGCUGGGGCAGGAGAGAGGGACAUAUCUUGGGUUGGGGAGAUGCUGAGGAGAAUGGAGACAAGAGGGAUACUGCACGAGUCUGGAUAAGGAGGGGAAAGGUCCUUCUGUCCCCCGCACAGGUCGUUGCCAUCUAGCAGAGCCACAUAGCAAACUGAGAAGCCUCCUGGAUCUUAGCGGUGCAGACAGAAAGGGCUUGAACUCAAGCAGCAAAAACGAAGCCAGCGAGCAGGGGAAAAGUCAGAGGCAGUGGCCCAGGGUGAUAGACAGCGAAGGCUGGCAUAUCUGAAUCCAGAUUUCAGGACCUGAACUGGCAAGGUUCUAUGUUCAGAAGAAAAGCCUCCUGGGAGUUUUCUUGGGGGGCAGCGCAUUGAGGAUCGGUGUGGCUUGGGAGGCUGCUGUGGACAACAUUCGAUCCCUGGCCCGAGAACUUGGCUGAAAAAAAAAAAAAAAGAUGAUGUGGGAAAUGAAAAAAUAGAAGCAGAGCACACAGUGAGUGCUUCCCUCCCACAUCCUGGCACUUGGGGGAUGUCUGGCUUGAACACGUAACCCAAGAGGGAAGGGGGGUCACUGCACAACUGGGAGGACUAGACACUUGCAGACCCCAGAGACCCUCCCAUAUCCUUCGGACACGAACACUGAUAGCAGGAGCCCAGUCCAGUUAAACCAGACUUCUUAGGAGUGGAGCCCACGUCCAUAUUCCAUGAAGCUUUCUAGGUGACGCCAACAUGCUGCCAGGCUAAGAACCACUGCUUUAGAUUCCGAUGAAUAUAAACUGUAAAGCCAGGGGCCCUCUUGUGUGUUUGUUUUCUGCUCUAUCCCCUGGCAUCUAGCACAGUGCCUGGUACAUGGUAGAAAUUGAAUACAGAUUUAUUACAGGAAAGGAGAGUGUGAAACAAGGCAUUUCUAUAAUAGAAACAAAUCUGUAUAUGGUGAGGCCAUGCAGGGAACUCUACUCAACAUCUUGUAAUAACCUAGAAUGGAAAAGACUCUAAAAAAGAAUACAUACAUUUAUAUAUGUAUUUGUAUCACUUUGCUGUAUACCAGAAACUAACACGGCACUGUAAAUCAACUGUAUUUCAAUACAAAUUUAAAAAAAAUUAGGCCACGCAGGGCAUGUAUAGAGGGGAGUUACCUCCCAGCCCCCACAAGAACCCUGUGGUCACACACACGUUUGUCCCUUGCUGUCCCAGCACAAGCAAACACGCAGCACCCGCUCAGUCGCUCCCGAGUGUCAAGACAGUUGUGGCUGUCCUCUGGAUCUAGGCUAUUUAGUUGACCCCAAAUCACCCAGGGCUGUGGUCCAGUUGACUUCCUCUGUUCCCUCCAGAAGUGCUGGUGUGACAGCAUGGCUCACAGAGAAGAGGCUUGAACCCUAACACUUUCAGCUGCAUGCAGCCCACUACGGGCUGUUAUCUCUCUCCACCAGCAGCUGAGGAAUAGUCAGGGGUCACUUCCAGCGGUGUUUUCUUCCUUCCUGUUCUUGCUCAGGGUCCGGCAGUAAUGACUUUGGCAGAAGUGUUGGGUCACCUUUUCCCAGAGUCAGGCGACCCUGUCUCCCUGGCUGCUGGCUGAGAGGAGCCUUGAGAAGGGGAGCCAAGGAGGAACCCUGGGUGUGGACUUGGAGCAUCUGAGUUAGUCUGGCGGAGGAGCAUUUCAUCAGCAUCUCUACAGGCCCAGGGAGUCUGUCAUCUAUUGCCAGGCUUGGGUACCACUGUCUAGAGCUGCAGGAGCCACAUGUUUGAUAGUGGGUAGAACCAGUGUUGGUCUCGGUCCUUCCUCUACUUUAGCAGCGUAGUGUUAACCCACUUCGGACAGCGCAGUGUGCCUGCCUGUGUCAAAUCUUUGAGCUGGGUUGGGAUCUCAUUUUUUAUCUCCCCAUUUCCACCGAGAAAGACGGCAUAGGAAAAAAAAAUCUGGAAAUAAGACAAGCCUUAAUUCAAACCUCGACAGUGCUACUGAUAUCUCUUAAACUCAGUUUUAACAUCUAUAAAAGGCAGAUGAUAUAAUUUACUGGGCAGGUUUAUUGUGAGGCAUAGAUCUUAGGGCUAUUGUGAGAUGGUGUUGUUUGAAUCCUAUGGAAGUAUUAUUUCACCAUUGGGCUCUGAGCUCUUUGAAGGUACAGACAGCAUUUUCUGUUUGUCUUUGUAUCCUUAACCUCUAACACAGUAAAUAGCUGGCACAUACUAGAUGCUUAAGGUAACCUUCUCAGAGCAGUCUGCCCAGAUGCUUCAUCUCAGGAUCCCCUAUAUAUCCCAUUAUACCCUCUUGGUUUCAUUAACGGCCUCAACUUGCUAUAUUUGCUUGUGUAUCCUCUUUCUCCAAAUUAGACUGUCAUUUCUAUGCUGUCAGGACUUUGUCUUGGUGUUCAAAGUCUAGAACCGUGUCUGGUACACAGUAGGUGCUCAACAUAUGUGUAUCCAGUGGAGAAAGGAAGAAAUGGCAGCUAUUUUACGAGGACUCAUAGUAGCAGUGAUUGCACGAUGAACUGGAACCAAUCCAAACAGAAAAAUGAAUUGUCUCUGGACAGCUCAGCAGAAGGGGUGAGCACCGCCAGAAGCCCUUGGAGUUUCCUCCUCAGAGAAUUCUGCCUGGGAACCUUUCUUUAGGGCUGGUGAUUUCCUCAGGCCUCCGCCAGGAGGCCCUUCAUGCUGAAGUGAGCAGCGUGAAUGAGGUUUCAGGACCCGGACAAGGGCUGCCUCGGAAGGAGCCUGAACUGGGGCCCUCUGAGGCGUGGGGGAGGGGGCCACACCCUCUCCUGGGCUUGGCACCAGGGGAAGGCUCCAGACGGCGCGGGCUCUGUGCCAGCCUGCUUGGUUCCAGUGGGAAAGCUGACCUUGGCCAGGAAGAACCAGGAAGAGGCACAAAUGACUCAUUGUCCCACAUCCUCCAAGGUGAAAACCCAGCAGUGUGUGUGGCCUCUGGGGCUGGACGCUAUUGCAGCCUUGGCUCCCUCCGCAGCCCAAAUAAAAGCAGUCGGCCAGCAACUCCGGCGCAGCCCAGGAAUACAACGCAUGGAUGUCACCCAUUGUCCCGUUCCACACACUUCCCUGCACUGAAAGUUCCUGAACACCGUGUGUAAGUUCCAGUUCUAAAAGUGGAGCACUAUUUCCUUCUAAAGACUUAAGACAGCCUUCAUUUCCAAUCAAGGGCAUGUGACAUUGUAUGGACUCGUGGAAGAAACGGGAUCUAUUUUCAGGUCACGUGUGAAGAAGGUUGCGGUGGAAUGUGCUUUAUUUUUAUUCACGAGUUUGGGAUCCAAGUCACAUUUGUAAGAUGCGCCACUGCCUUAAGAUUCCCACUAGAGGGCACUCUUGGAAAAUAUUUAUAAGUACAUAU
Molecule: long non-coding RNA, 3484 nt
Filed under: Sus scrofa (pig)
Lineage: Eukaryota; Metazoa; Chordata; Mammalia; Artiodactyla; Suidae
Description: lncRNA (ENSSSCG00030051638.1)
Source: RNAcentral